Molecule: ribosomal RNA, 1037 nt
Filed under: Salmonella enterica subsp. enterica serovar Typhimurium
Lineage: Bacteria; Pseudomonadati; Pseudomonadota; Gammaproteobacteria; Enterobacterales; Enterobacteriaceae
Description: partial 23S ribosomal RNA
Rfam family: Bacterial large subunit ribosomal RNA
Source: RNAcentral
AGACCCGAAACCCGGUGAUCUAGCCAUGGGCAGGUUGAAGGUUGGGUAACACUAACUGGAGGACCGAACCGACUAAUGUUGAAAAAUUAGCGGAUGACCUGUGGCUGGGGGUGAAAGGCCAAUCAAACCGGGAGAUAGCUGGUUCUCCCCGAAAGCUAUUUAGGUAGCGCCUCGUGAAUUCAUCUCCGGGGGUAGAGCACUGUUUCGGCUAGGGGGCCAUCCCGGCUUACCAACCCGAUGCAAACUGCGAAUACCGGAGAAUGUUAUCACGGGAGACACACGGCGGGUGCUAACGUCCGUCGUGAAGAGGGAAACAACCCAGACCGCCAGCUAAGGUCCCAAAGUCAUGGUUAAGUGGGAAACGAUGUGGGAAGGCCCAGACAGCCAGGAUGUUGGCUUAGAAGCAGCCAUCAUUUAAAGAAAGCGUAAUAGCUCACUGGUCGAGUCGGCCUGCGCGGAAGAUGUAACGGGGCUAAACCAUGCACCGAAGCUGCGGCAGCGAACGUAUCACCCAAGACAACUUUACGGAGUUGACGAUUGACGGAGCGAAGCGACGUCAAAGCGUUCAUUAAAGUCGAGUUGGCUUAGGGAUACGUUCGUUGGGUAGGGGAGCGUUCUGUAAGCCUGUGAAGGUGUGUCGUGAGGCAUGCUGGAGGUAUCAGAAGUGCGAAUGCUGACAUAAGUAACGAUAAAGCGGGUGAAAAGCCCGCUCGCCGGAAGACCAAGGGUUCCUGUCCAACGUUAAUCGGGGCAGGGUGAGUCGACCCCUAAGGCGAGGCCGAAAGGCGUAGUCGAUGGGAAACGGGUUAAUAUUCCCGUACUUGGUGUUACUGCGAAGGGGGGACGGAGAAGGCUAUGUUGGCCGGGCGACGGUUGUCCCGGUUUAAGGGUGUAGGUGUGUGUUCCAGGUAAAUCCGGUUCACUUUAACACUGAGGCGUGACGACGAGGCACUACGGUGCUGAAGCAACAAAUGCCCUGCUUCCAGGAAAAGCCUCUAAGCAUCAGGUAACAUCAAAUCGUACCCCAAACCGACACA